UCCACCCAAAAUUGAUCCAUUUACACCUUUGUAAGUUAUUUGCGUUUAUUGUGGUAAUGAAGAGAUGCAGUGAUGAUGCAAACAAGUGCAAAUUUUCAUGACUCACAUUGCA
Long non-coding RNA from Nanorana parkeri, 112 nucleotides. RefSeq lists it as uncharacterized. Lineage: Eukaryota; Metazoa; Chordata; Amphibia; Anura; Dicroglossidae. The transcript is spliced from 3 exons. The record is from RefSeq and is a predicted model, not a curated record.